Molecule: unclassified non-coding RNA, 1360 nt
Filed under: Hevea brasiliensis (rubber tree)
Lineage: Eukaryota; Viridiplantae; Streptophyta; Magnoliopsida; Malpighiales; Euphorbiaceae
Source: RNAcentral
AAUGCAGUGCGGUGGACCUAACGAUUACGAGUAUUACGUUCACUACACCGAGUUUAAUAGGAGGCUUGAUGAAUGGGUGAAGCUUGAACAGCUAGAUCUUGAUUCUGUGGAGACUGUCAUAGAUGAGAAGGUCGAAGACAAGGUAACAAGCUUGAAAAUGACACGCCACCAGAAACGUAAGAUUGAUGAAACACAUGUAGAGGGCCACGAGGAGCUUGAUGCUGCCAGCUUACGUGAACAUGAGGAAUUCACAAAAGUGAAAAAUAUAGCCACUAUUGAACUUGGGAGAUAUGAGAUUGAGACAUGGUACUUCUCCCCCUUUCCACCAGAAUACAAUGAUUCUGUCAAGCUGUACUUUUGUGAGUUUUGCCUCAAUUUCAUGAAGCGUAAAGAACAGCUUCAAAGGCAUAUGAGAAAGUGUGAUCUCAAGCAUCCCCCUGGUGAUGAGAUUUAUCGAAGUGGUACAUUGUCAAUGUUUGAGGUUGAUGGCAAAAAGAACAAAGUCUAUGGCCAGAAUCUUUGUUAUUUGGCAAAGCUGUUUCUUGAUCACAAGACCCUUUAUUAUGACGUGGACCUUUUUCUAUUCUAUGUUUUGUGUGAAUGUGAUGAUCGAGGAUGCCACAUGGUUGGAUAUUUUUCCAAGGAAAAGCAUUCAGAGGAGUCGUAUAAUUUGGCAUGUAUUCUCACUCUUCCUCCUUACCAAAGGAAAGGCUAUGGAAAAUUUUUAAUUGCAUUCUCAUAUGAACUUUCCAAGAAAGAAGGUAAAGUUGGUACACCUGAAAGACCGCUUUCUGACCUCGGGUUGUUAAGCUACAGAGGGUACUGGACCCGAGUUCUUUUGGACAUCUUGAAAAAGCACAAGGGCAAUAUUUCUAUCAAGGAGCUUAGUGACAUGACAGCCAUCAAAGCGGAGGAUAUUUUGACUACACUUCAGAGCCUAGAAUUAAUUCAGUACAGAAAGGGUCAGCAUGUGAUUUGUGCAGAUCCAAAAGUCUUGGAUCGUCAUCUAAAAGCUGCCGGCCGUGGUGGUCUUGAGGUUGAUGUUAGCAAAUUGAUCUGGACUCCUUAUAAAGAACAGGGUUGAUUAUGAACUAAUGAUUGCUGUGUAAUUUGAUUUGUACCUUUUCCUGUGUAAAUGUAGCUCUUAUUAGGAAAUUAAAUUAGGUGAAUAUAUAAGAGAGAGCCGCAGGGCUUCUUAGGUACGUGCCUUUUUAUGCGACCUUGUUUGUUACUCCAUACAUGCAAUGAAAUGUAACCUAACUCUAACCUUAGAAGGAGACACAUCUGGCAUGUUUCUGAUUUGAUCCUCGCAAUCUUUGAUCGUGAGGUAGGACGUCUCUGUGGUUGGGUUUUAUUUUCU